UGUGUUCUGCUCGCCCGUCGCGCCUUUUUUUUCUUUCUUUUUCUUGUUCUCCUAGUCGCGGUCUUGUUUUGGCGGCAGGCUUGGUGAGCUGGGGCCGGAAUGCCUGUGAGGGUCAUUGUUUCCGCCUGGCUAAGUUCAGCGCGCUAAGCUUUUCCUGCUCUCCCUUUUUCAUGUUCCCCCUCUCAGGCGCUUCCCCCCCGCCCCCCGCUGGUCUUUUUUCGGUCCAUUCCCCCCCGCUUCCCUUUUCCGGUUUCGCCCCCGGGUGCAGCCUUUUUUUCUUCAACCGCUUUCCGCUGCCGUUUUCCGAUUUCUUCUACCUUUCUCCGGAAGUUUGCACUCGUGCGUAGUCUGGUUCCCGGUGGUGGCCAGCUCUUCUAAACCUUUACCUCUCAAAGAGCUUUGUCCUCCUCCCCGCGCCCGGCCGUUUACGUUGUACACGCCCGCCCCCCCCUCCCCCCCCCCGCCGCCUUGCCAGUCCUUGUGCUUUCUGUCCAGCUAGCUGCAGCUCAUUUCGCUUUUGAAGGUUUAGCUCCUGGCUGUCUCUCUCUGAGACACUUCUGUCAUUCCUGGUUUUGAAGGUCUAAAUAUCCGAAUCCGGCGACAUCCUCCAAAUGCAACGGACUGCUCAUUGGCUGUCCUACCCGGCCUGUGAAAUAAUUGCUUCUCCAGUAUUUCCAAUACAUCUCCAACAGGUGUGUUCCUGGUGGUCUUUGGCUGGAUGGCGUUGACAAGUUAUUAAGAGGGUCCACCGAUGGACCCAUAUGGGAACUGCGACAUGGAAUGCGUUUUAUUCUAACAAGCAAAGUCCCCCCCCCCCCCGUUGGAAGACCUGUAAACGAGAAUACAAGUCAUGAAAUACCACUAUUUACAAAUAGAACUGCUCAAAAGAGAAACUAGAAAAAAAAGAGAAAAGGUUGUUGAUCUCAUAACUCCCAGAGCAAGACAGCUUAGUAAAAGGGUAGAGGGAUGGAUAUAUAUGUAUCUGCAUCUGUGUCGGUGUAUGUACAGUACGCAACAGAUCCAUGAUGUUAUGUGGUGGGUGCUCACGGUAGAAAUCUUUCAACGUUGCUGUACGUGCGAAAAGAAAUUUAAGAAGAAAAAAAUGCUGCCAAGAAAAACCUCACAGAGCUAUUUGUCUCGUUCUGGGCUUUCUCCAAGGAAAUGAGACUUGAGGCAGCUUUCCCGCUACAGGCGCGUUUCCCUUUCAAGGCGAGAGAGAGAGAGAGAGAGAGAGAGAGAGAGAGAGAGAGCGCGAGCGCGCGCGAGCGAGCGCGAGCCGGCGCUGACGGCAGGAAACCAGGAAACGGCGCGUGUGUGGGCGGGACAUGCAAAUUAAAGUGGCUGUUUCUCUGGCGAGCUAUGGGAGCAAAACAAUAAAAAGCGUGAAAGCCCCGAACAAGUUAAGCGAUCUGAUAAACUGAGUAUGUCUUAGGAGUUGUGACGAUGACAGACUGUCCAGUCUAAGGAAAGAGGGUGAGCCUUCGUUUGAGGGUGACUUUUCUCACCGUGAUCCAAAGGAGGAGUGAGAGGGAGGGUGUCGAUGCGCUGGGGAGGACGUGGUUAUCGCUUCUCGGCCUUUUGGCUAAGAUCAAGUGUAGUAUCUGUUCUUAUCAGUUUAAUAUCUGAUACGUCCUCUAUCCGAGGACAAUAUAUUAAAUGGAUUUUUGGAGCCGGGAGAUGGAAUAGGAGCUUGCUCCGUCCACUCCGCGCAUCGACCUGGUAUUGCAGUACUUCCAGGAACGGUGCACC
Lynx canadensis (Canada lynx) is the source of this 1749-nucleotide long non-coding RNA. RefSeq lists it as uncharacterized. NCBI's taxonomy places the organism in Eukaryota, Metazoa, Chordata, Mammalia, Carnivora, Felidae. The transcript is spliced from 3 exons. The record is from RefSeq and is a predicted model, not a curated record.